Molecule: transfer RNA, 71 nt
Filed under: Loxodonta africana (African savanna elephant)
Lineage: Eukaryota; Metazoa; Chordata; Mammalia; Proboscidea; Elephantidae
Rfam family: tRNA
About the family: Transfer RNA (tRNA) molecules are approximately 80 nucleotides in length. Their secondary structure includes four short double-helical elements and three loops (D, anti-codon, and T loops). Further hydrogen bonds mediate the characteristic L-shaped molecular structure. tRNAs have two regions of fundamental functional importance: the anti-codon, which is responsible for specific mRNA codon recognition, and the 3' end, to which the tRNAs corresponding amino acid is attached (by aminoacyl-tRNA synthetases). tRNAs cope with the degeneracy of the genetic code in two manners: having more than one tRNA (with a specific anti-codon) for a particular amino acid; and 'wobble' base-pairing, i.e. permitting non-standard base-pairing at the 3rd anti-codon position.
Source: Rfam by way of RNAcentral
ACAUUGGUGAUUCAGUGGUAGAAUUCUUGCCUUCCAUGCGGGAGACCUGGGUUCGAUUCCCAGCCAAUGCA